CCUAAUGAUCAAAGGGUUUCAAAAUUUGUAAUUUUAAUGGUCGAUAAAAGGCGUUUUCUCGUUUAACGGCGUAAAGAUAUCCAAAUCAAUUGAAUUUUUGUUAGAAAAUUCUUGAAACUAUUUAAAACAAGAUCUAUACUCUUGAUCUUGAUUACAAGACUCCUAUCAUCAUUUUUUAAAGAGUAUUCAUUUUCAGCCAUUUAUUUUUCUGUUCACUUGAUGGAUAAAAGAACAAUAUCGAAAGUGCGUGAAAUUUGAUUUCUAGGUAGUUUAAAUAGUUUAGAUCAUAUUUAACGGAGCCGAUCGUCAAUUUGGAAGCUCUAUCAUCGAAAACAAAUCGGUAGUAAAACGGCUCGUUUACUACCGAUAGUAUUCUAGCUCAACUCGUACUAUUUAACAAGAAAGUUAUACUAUUUGAUACAUGUAAUAAAAUAUAAAGUAGUGCAGUUUUUUGUUAAAUAGGGCAACGUAUAUUCACAUAGUAUAAUUUAUUUUCAAAAAAAUACAACAUCACACUAUUUCUCAAAUUUUCCUCUCUCACUACCUCCACCACUUUGCCGCCCAACUUACUUAAACAAACCAAAUCUAGCGAAAGCAAACAAGUGUAUUCAUUCU
RNAcentral lists this long non-coding RNA (615 nucleotides) under Ananas comosus (pineapple). Its description in RNAcentral is "long non-coding RNA (ACOM_LNC027918)". The record is from RNAcentral. Lineage: Eukaryota; Viridiplantae; Streptophyta; Magnoliopsida; Poales; Bromeliaceae.